This 424-nucleotide ribosomal RNA is filed under the name uncultured bacterium. RNAcentral's name for it is "bacterial SSU rRNA". It matches the Rfam family "Bacterial small subunit ribosomal RNA", at positions 355 to 796 of the family's 1533-position model. The record is from RNAcentral.
UGGGGAAUAUUGGGCAAUGGGGGAAACCCUGACCCAGCAACGCCGCGUGAAGGAAGAAGGCUUUCGGGUUGUAAACUUCUUUUAUUCGGGAAGAUAAUGACGGUACCGAAUGAAUAAGCUCCGGCUAACUACGUGCCAGCAGCCGCGGUAAUACGUAGGGAGCGAGCGUUGUCCGGAUUUACUGGGUGUAAAGGGCGCGUAGGCGGGACUGUAAGUAUGGCGUGAAAUCUAGUGGCUCAACCACUAAACUGCGUUAUAAACUAUAGUUCUUGAGUGAUGGAGAGGCAGGCGGAAUUCCGUGUGUAGCGGUGAAAUGCGUAGAUAUACGGAGGAACACCAGUGGCGAAGGCGGUCUGCUGGACAUCAACUGACGCUGAGGCGCGAAAGCGUGGGGAGCAAACAGGAUUAGAUACCCCCGUAGUCC